Molecule: non-coding RNA, 95 nt
Organism: Byssothecium circinans
Lineage: Eukaryota; Fungi; Ascomycota; Dothideomycetes; Pleosporales; Massarinaceae
Source: the annotation of a GenBank genome assembly
UCUCAGCUCGUGUAGUGGUUAGUACGCCGGUCUUAUGUCUAUCGCAGUCAGCGACAGGUAUGCUGGUGACCUGAGUUCGAUUCUCAGGCUGAGAA